RNAcentral lists this long non-coding RNA (1914 nucleotides) under Gadus morhua (Atlantic cod). RNAcentral describes it as "lncRNA (ENSGMOG00000032253.1)". The record is from RNAcentral. Lineage: Eukaryota; Metazoa; Chordata; Actinopteri; Gadiformes; Gadidae.
GUCUGAACACAUAAAAGAUGGCACCAAAGAGAGGCAUCUAUGGCAGGUGGAGGAUUUCAAUGAAGACACCCCUCUAUGUGUAAAGAAAAGAAUGGUCCUUGCUUGUCAGCAUGGCAAAGCUCGACAGAAAAAAGAAAAGGAGAAACGUUCAGCAGAGCAUGUAUACACAAAAAAACGUUUUCAUGUCCAAAAUGGGAAGAAGUUGGACUGCCCAGCUAAACUUUUCAUUCGGCAUGUGCUGAGAUAUGACUCAUUCAGUGUGAGAGGGGAUGCCACAAAAUCCCAUAAAGAAGACACUAUGAGAAAUCUUAAGAUAGCACUUCAAAACUCAGAAAACCCACCAACCUCUACAUUCAUUCAUCUAAAAAUUCCUCUAUUGGAAGUUCACAAUCAUACAAUUGGAGCAGGAUCCUGUUUUUCAAGACCGAUUCAUCCAAAAAUAAAAAAUCAAAUUCAGGUGAUGGUCGGACAAGGGAUAACUAAUAUAGCUUUCGUGAAGAGAGCCUUGAAGCAGUAUGUGCUAAAUGACUUGUGUGGAGAGGAUCUCCAGCGGCCGCACAACAACGAUGAAGCAUAUUUUCCAUCGAACACAACUAUCCAGAAUCACAUUCACAUGGCAUUAGUGGCUGGUCGUUACUCUGCGCUGGAUCAGGAGAAUCUUGCAAAGAAAGUGGCAGAAUGGAAGGUUGAAGAUGAGGGCAAUCGUUUCUUCUUUAGGAAAUGCACAAAUGGAGGAGAUGAAGAUCUAGAGCAUCAGUUUCUUUUCAUACAUCAGCACCACAAACAAAUACGGCUCCUGCAGCGAUAUGGGGAAAUGGUUCUUUUGAAUGCCACAUACAAAACCUCAAAAUAUUCCAUGCCAUUGUUUUUUUUGGUUGUUCGAACCAAUGUUGGCUACAAACCUGUAGCAGAGUUUGUAUGUGAGAGUGAAACUACAAAGUCCAUUGCAGAAGCACUGGACAUCUUGAAGACAUGGAAUCCUCAGUGGACUCCAAAGUACUUCAUGACAGAUUACAGUGAGCAAGAGAUCCAGGCCCUCGCCCAAGUGUUCCCCACUGCAGUAACACACCUAUGUGCAUUCCACAGAGAGCAGGCCUGGCUCCGCUGGACUAAAGAUGGUGAGAUCUAGUAACGUGCAGAGAUUGUAUUGGAAUCUUGUGUGUUUUUUGCAACGGAAACAGUGAAUACUGCCUGUAUGACCAAAUUAUUAUGAUUGUAGGAAAAAACAAGCUUGCCGACAGGGGGGGGGGGGGGGGGGGGGGGUCUAGCUCAAUUGCUGUAAGUGUGGUGUGUGUUUGUGUAUGUGUUGUGUAAUGUGUUAGGAUGUGUGUAUAUGUUUUGAAGAGUGGAUGUGUGUAGUGACAGUAUAGUCUGUAUGUGAAUAUUAGAUAUAAUUGUUAUGUAUGUAAUUAUUUGAUAUAAUUGUUGUCAUCACUGUUUGUUUUUUUCCAGAAAUGGUGCAGAGCCUAUGCGCCAGAGGCAUUUAAUGUGUCAGUCACCACCAACAAUGGAGUUGAAACCAUGAAUAAAAAUCUGAAGGCAUUCUACCUGAAAAUCUCAGGUACUGGGAUUCUCUCUUCUCUACUGGGAACAGUUGUUCGAGAAUUUAUUCCUGACAAAAUGAAAGGCUACGAGCGGCUGAAUUACAAUCAAUCCACAAGCCACAAGAGCUACAAUGAGGAUGUACCAGAGCACCUCAAAAACCGACCAAGAGAUGUGGUCCUCCACUGCUUGAGAAGCAUCAGUUCUGCUUCCCAUUUCACUGCUCAAGAUGUUGUGGAUAAAGGUGAUGGUACAUGCCUAGUCACAAGUGAGCAAUCUCCCCUCUUUUACUCCGUCAACCUUAGAGGGCCGUUGUGUGAGUGUGGUGCAUUUCAAGAUUCUUACCUACCAUGCAAGCACAUGAUUGCCAUU